RNAcentral lists this ribosomal RNA (882 nucleotides) under Staphylococcus aureus. RNAcentral's name for it is "bacterial SSU rRNA". It matches the Rfam family "Bacterial small subunit ribosomal RNA", at positions 1 to 864 of the family's 1533-position model. Lineage: Bacteria; Bacillati; Bacillota; Bacilli; Caryophanales; Staphylococcaceae. The record is from RNAcentral.
UUUAUGGAGAGUUUGAUCCUGGCUCAGGAUGAACGCUGGCGGCGUGCCUAAUACAUGCAAGUCGAGCGAACGGACGAGAAGCUUGCUUCUCUGAUGUUAGCGGCGGACGGGUGAGUAACACGUGGAUAACCUACCUAUAAGACUGGGAUAACUUCGGGAAACCGGAGCUAAUACCGGAUAAUAUUUUGAACCGCAUGGUUCAAAAGUGAAAGACGGUCUUGCUGUCACUUAUAGAUGGAUCCGCGCUGCAUUAGCUAGUUGGUAAGGUAACUGCUUACCAAGGCAACGAUGCAUAGCCGACCUGAGAGGGUGAUCGGCCACACUGGAACUGAGACACGGUCCAGACUCCUACGGGAGGCAGCAGUAGGGAAUCUUCCGCAAUGGGCGAAAGCCUGACGGAGCAACGCCGCGUGAGUGAUGAAGGUCUUCGGAUCGUAAAACUCUGUUAUUAGGGAAGAACAUAUGUGUAAGUAACUGUGCACAUCUUGACGGUACCUAAUCAGAAAGCCACGGCUAACUACGUGCCAGCAGCCGCGGUAAUACGUAGGUGGCAAGCGUUAUCCGGAAUUAUUGGGCGUAAAGCGCGCGUAGGCGGUUUUUUAAGUCUGAUGUGAAAGCCCACGGCUCAACCGUGGAGGGUCAUUGGAAACUGGAAAACUUGAGUGCAGAAGAGGAAAGUGGAAUUCCAUGUGUAGCGGUGAAAUGCGCAGAGAUAUGGAGGAACACCAGUGGCGAAGGCGACUUUCUGGUCUGUAACUGACGCUGAUGUGCGAAAGCGUGGGGAUCAAACAGGAUUAGAUACCCUGGUAGUCCACGCCGUAAACGAUGAGUGCUAAGUGUUAGGGGGUUUCCGCCCCUUAGUGCUGCAGCUAACGCAUUAAG